Molecule: ribosomal RNA, 250 nt
Filed under: uncultured prokaryote
Description: partial 16S ribosomal RNA
Rfam family: Bacterial small subunit ribosomal RNA
Source: RNAcentral
UACGUAGGGGGCGAGCGUUGUCCGGAAUUACUGGGUAUAAAGGGAGCGUAGGCGGGUUUGUAAGUUGAAUGUGAAAUUUAUGGGCUUAACUCAUAAACUGCGUUCAAAACUGCAGAUCUUGAGUGAAGUAGAGGCAGGUGGAAUUCCUAGUGUAGCGGUGAAAUGCGUAGAUAUUAGGAGGAACACCAGUGGCGAAGGCGGCCUGCUGGGCUUUAACUGACGCUGAGGCUCGAAAGCAUGGGGAGCAAAC